AUGAAUGAUCAUCCUUGAUCUUCUUACCCUCAAACCACUGUGGAACAUGAGAUGUGCUUCGGUGCCAGUCGGCGCCGCCUUUAUGCUCAAACAAUGUUUUUUUUGUCUGAAGAAUCUAAUAUCA
This 124-nucleotide unclassified non-coding RNA is filed under the name uncultured Archaeorhizomyces. RNAcentral describes it as "sequence contains ITS1". Lineage: Eukaryota; Fungi; Ascomycota; Archaeorhizomycetes; Archaeorhizomycetales; Archaeorhizomycetaceae. The record is from RNAcentral.